GUACAGGAGCAAACAAAUCAAUGAUUCUUGAGAAGCAAAUGCCCGAUGAUUCAAGUAAAGGCUAAUAUCUACCCUUAAUCACAUAAAUGACAAGAUAAUAUUGUCAGUCUCAUAGUUUCUUUCAUGUCAGUUGAGCUGAGCAUUCACUCCACACACACACACACACACGAACUACAGCACCUUGAUCCCACAAGACAAGAAUGAACAAACAUAAGUACCCCUAAGAAGAAACAUCUGAUCCACUGCAUUCCCAUUUCACAGAGAAAGGUAAAGCUAAUUUAUUCCAUGUAAUGUAUUGAAUGUAACAGACAUGACGUGGCUAAUUAAGAUAGCCCUGGAAUCAACACAUCAAAUAUCAGCAACUCUGGAUUUAUUAAUGCAGGUAGUCCCACUUUCAACCAUCAUUUAUACAUAGGCAUCUCUUGAAAAACGUUUAGCGUUCUCGUUGAUUAGAAAUCAGACUGAAGCAGCAUUAGAUCUGUCCCAGAAUAACCUCGCCACCAGAAACCUUGAAGUCAGAUGGAACUUCCUCCACAUUAAGAACCUUAACCUUUCCAUCUUCCACAUAUGCUGACCAUCGUUGAGAGCGAGGCCCAAGCAAAGCAACAGAUAGAUCUUUAUCUAGCUCCAAGCUUUUGUGAAAGCUCCCAUCAAAGUCCCCAUAAAAUUCAAUAGCAUCUUUAGCUUGAAGUUUCUCUGCCCAGCCAUUCAGGACGUACGGAUCAUUAACAGCCACACAAAUCACCGAAUCAAUCCCUUUAGCCUUGAACUUAUCAAUGUUGUUUUUGUAACUAGGCACGUGUUGUUGCGAACAAACCCCCGUGUAUGCACCCUGGAGAUAGUAAGUGCAAAACACAUCAAAUUAUUGAAGCACUGUAUCAAUAAAACGAAAUAAUUCAGCUCCAGACAAUUCAGAUGCAGGUGAAGAAAAAUGCAAUGCUUGAAGAUAAUGAGGCAAGCAGGACAAAGAAAAAGGCAGAAGAAACUUACAGGGAGGCCAAAAAUCACGACUUUCUUCCCCUGGAAAUAUAAAAUUAAACAAAACUCAGAAAAAAUAAUAAUGGUAAUAAUAAUAAUAAUAAUGUGUGGAUUCGUGCGACUAAAUACAUAUGGGUCAAAUUUGCCGCUUUAUUGUCAACCACAAAAACAAUCAUUAACCAAGCUGUGCAAAUCAAACACGAACGAGAAAAACCAUGAUUCAGUGCCACAUCCAUCAUAUGCUCCAGAAAUUAGCUGCUUGUGAAAUUCUAAUUCCAUCACCAAAUCAGAGUUCUUUUGUUUCUCACUUUCCAAUUCCAUCCUUUGCCUUUCAUUCACUUGCACUAAUUGUUCCUGUUCUGACACUUCCCCUCCUAACAGACCAAUUAGGUUCGCUACCUUCUGUCUUUGCUCGUUCAAAGUCCUCUUUAACACCAUUAAGCCCCCUACCAUUCUCUCCUUAUCAAUUCCUUUGUCCCCGUGGCCAUCUUCUCCUUGAGAAUUCACCUUCGCCUCGUCUGCCAUGCUGCUAGGUGAAAUCCUCCCACUUGAUUCUCCUGAAUCAACUGACUCAUUCAGCUCAAUUUUCUUAUCCUGAAUGAUGGUUUCACCUCCGAAACGAACCUGUUUCACAAUUGAAUCGUCUUUUGACUCGUUAGGGAAUUUUGGGUCAAGCUCGAAUCCCUCCCUGUUGAAAUUCCAGCCACUAAUCUUCCUUAUCUUCACAAUUUCAUUCCCCGUGUCCCCCUCAAUGCCCUCCUCUUCUCCAUUUUCACUACCUGUACUCAUUCCGUGUAACGCCUUGCUUUCUUUGAAUCUUUCUUCGAUGCUGGGCAACCCAGGCAAGACGUUCUUUACCAAAAAAUCCAAGCCCCUUCAGUUCUUGAAAAAAGGAUGCUUUAAAAGCUUCUCAGCAGAGGGCCUUUCUGAUGGGUCUUGGAUGAAGACAAGAACCAACCAUAUCUUUAAAAGCUUUAAAGAACUUCUUACUCUUAUCUUUCUUGUGCUUCUCAUAGUCAGAGAACCGAAACCGCUCUGUUAUCUUCAUAAUCAGACUUGGAAAGAGGAAGGUGAGACAAAGGAGGCCGACCAUGGGCUAGUUCCAAUGCAGUGAUACCAAAAGACCAUAUAUCGGCCUUAAAACUAUACCCUGUGUGGGAGUGUAUAACCUCAGGUGCCAUCCAAUAUGGGGUCCCCGCAACAUCUGUGAGCAUCAAUCUCGAUGAGCACGACGACGAAGCCCAGCCUCUUCCAGUAUUCGACUCGUAAAUCGAGGCUGAUACACCAAAGUCUGCGAGCUUAACGUGUCCGUUUGAGUCUAUGAGAAUGUUGCCUGCCUUGAUAUCUCUGUGCAAGUGGCCUUGGUUGUGAAGAUACGACAGUGCGUUUAGGGUUGCUUUGAGAACUACAGCAAUGCAUGGCUCUGAUAGGCCGUCGGGGAAAGAUGAGGAAAUUAUGGAUUGAAGAGAACCAGCAGACAUGAAAGGCAUAACGACCCAAAGGCGGCGACCAACGGUAAAGGAGCAAUGGGCUUUGAGGAUGUUUGGGUGUGAAAGAAGGGACAUGGUCUUGAUUUCCCAUCUAACGUUGUCGAAAUCUGCUCGAGAUUGAUCAAGAUCGAUAGAUUUGAUGGCAACCACUGUAGAGUUCAUGGGGGUACAUAUUGCUUUGUAAACUAUGGCACUAACACCAACACCAAUCUCGUCCAAGAUUUUGUAGGAGCUUGAGUCUAAUGGGAACUGAAGCUUUUUUGGUUCUUGAUCAUGUUCUUGAGCCAUGAAGGCUAGGUAUAACUGAAUCUUGAAUGGGUUUUGGGCGAAUUGUUGUUGUUUUCUUGAAUUGGGUUUUGGGAGAUUUUUUUUAUGAUGUGUUGUGGAUAUUGUUGCAGAAGAAAGGGAAAAAGAAAGGAAGUAGGUAUUUCUGAUGGUUUUCUUGUGAGGUUUUGAAAGGGAAAGAAAACAGUCAUGGCGGUGACAUCUUUGAAAGGGAGACGAUGCAUGUGAAUGUCAACUGCUUUUUAUCUGAACAUGAAUUAAAUAGUGAGGUUGAAGAUAAAUGUGGCGGUUCAAUUUUUGAGAAUUAAAUAAAACUAAAUCCAUAUAUUUUGGUUUCUUGCGUCUUCUGGUUUGGGUGUGAACCUGAUAGUAAGUUUGGGUUUCAAUUUAUAAUUACAGAAUUACUCCAACUAAUCUAAUACUUGAAUUCGUCUGCAAUUUUAUUUUAUUUUAUUUUUUGCAAGCAAUGGCUUCCGACGCUAGC
This 3237-nucleotide unclassified non-coding RNA is filed under the name Hevea brasiliensis (rubber tree). The record is from RNAcentral. Lineage: Eukaryota; Viridiplantae; Streptophyta; Magnoliopsida; Malpighiales; Euphorbiaceae.